UACGGAAGAUGCAAGCGUUAUCCGGAAUUACUGGGCGUAAAGAGUUGCGUAGGUGGCAUUGUAAGUCAGUAGUGAAAGCGUGGGGCUCAACCCCAUACACAUUAUUGAAACUGCUAAGCUAGAGAAUGAGAGAGGUAUCUGGAAUUCCCAGUGUAGGAGUGAAAUCCGUAGAUAUUGGGAGGAACACCAAUGGCGUAGGCAGGGUACUGGCUCAUUUCUGACACUAAGGCACGAAAGCGUGGGGAGCAAACGGG
RNAcentral lists this ribosomal RNA (254 nucleotides) under uncultured bacterium. RNAcentral's name for it is "partial 16S ribosomal RNA". It matches the Rfam family "Bacterial small subunit ribosomal RNA", at positions 524 to 776 of the family's 1533-position model. The record is from RNAcentral.